UUUUAUUUAAUGCAUACAGCAAAAUCACUGCUAUCUUAAUCAUGGUUUUUGCAACUCUGUAUCUCCAAGCUGAGUUUUUCUAGAGUUAUUCCAACAGAAAAUCUCCCAAGUAAUGGUUGAACAACCUUUCUUCCUCUGGUUUUCCCAUAUGUUCUCAGUACUACCAGAAUAGUUCUUCCAUCCUGAUAAUGCAUAGAAGAUUUAAUUUAUUCAUCUGUGUUUAUGGAGACUGGGAGCAGACACAUUGCAGCAUGCUCUUCACUUAAGAAAUGUUGAUCUCAGAAUUCAUAACAAAAUUUCCCCUUGCUUAUGGACAGCCUGGCAGACUUUAUUGAUUCCAAUAGCUGGUGGUGAGUGACUGUUCUUAAUUGGGGAAAAUAUUUAUCUGGAUAAUGCCAAUGAAAAGGAAAAUACUGGCAUGCUAACUAGCUCUGUGAGGUCUCUCCCUGCACAACUGUUAUUUGCAUUUAAAGCAGGCUAUUAAAUCUUGUUUGCUCAAUUUGGCUUUCCAGCUAUUCGAAAUGAAUUACCUCUAAUCUCCUGUUUUCUCUCUCUUUUCUCGCUGCUUUUAAUUUUAUUGUGUAUGUGUUUUUAAGUUUUUUAAUUAUGUCUUAAUUUUUAUUUGUAAUUCACCUUUGGGAUCUAUUCUGGGCAACAAGGCAGCUUAGAAAUUAAACAUUUCCAGUCAACUUGGGACAAAAGCAGUCUUCAAAACUGCUUCUGGGUUGCAAAUGCAAACAGCUAAUUAGAGUUCACCUCACACCUUCCCUUAUGACUCAGACUCAAGCCAAGGAAAAAUGGAAAACAGAGAAAGCUCUUAAGCAGUCUUAAGUUACUUGGUCUUGCUGUUCAGAAGGAUAGAAACAGCAGUGCUGCCUCACAAGCAAAAGCAGGAAGCUUUUUGGGAUGAAAGCAGGAGCUAGAUAACCCAAAAAAUUUCAGUCAGCACUGAAUAUCCAAUAGUUGUUAUUUUGAUCUUUAUGGAGUUGGAUAUGGUGGAAAAUUAUUGCAAGCCAGGGAUGUGAGUCACUGCUUUUAAUCACUUACUAGUAAUUUCUAGCUGUCCAUGAUGACUGGUUAGACUCUUAAUAACAGCUCUGAGUUACCCAGUUUCCAGAAUUGUUUUUCUGAACUGUAUGUAAUAAAUAUUCAACUUAGUAUGUAGGUAGAUAAUUACCCCAAUGCCCAUUUGAAUAUAUCCCAAAUACCUUUAUAUAACCCUCUUAUGCCUUACUAUUAAACAGGUCCCUCUGAUUUUGCCAUGAAGGCUUUAUAAAAGGAAGUGGAAAAGAGUAAUUCAGAUAGAAAUCUACUUGUAUUUUCCUGGACAUGGAUAAAAUUAAAGUUCUGUCUCUCCAAAACUCAA
Candoia aspera is the source of this 1366-nucleotide long non-coding RNA. RefSeq lists it as uncharacterized. Lineage: Eukaryota; Metazoa; Chordata; Lepidosauria; Squamata; Candoiidae. The transcript is spliced from 2 exons. The record is from RefSeq and is a predicted model, not a curated record.